CUGUUAGUUACAAAGCUGAGACCAAGAAUGAGAAAUGCUGACCCACCCCAGUGACCACACUCAACAGACGUGAGUCCCUCCCUCUUCCCAGAGGACCCUGCCUUCCUGUCUGCACUGCACAUCUCCCCAGAUUUCUGGAUUGAGAGUUGGGUUUGAAUCCCAGGUCUGUAAUACACUUCCUCGGUGGCCUCCAGUAACUGAGAACCUCUGGCGUCCAUUUGCUCGCUUGAAAAUGAAGAUGGACAAACUGCUCAUGGGUUGCCAAGCAGGUUAGUGAGGCCAUAGGGAGCUGGUCACAAAGGAGGUGCUCAGUAAAGGACAGCUGUGAUGAUGCCAUCCCCCAGACCUCCAGGAUGUGAAAACCAUUUUCCUUGUAGGGGGCCACAGAACCAGCAAGGAAUAUGCUUAAUUGGAUGAUAAUGGAUGAUCAACUAAAAGCAAGUCAGCUGGAUGUAACACACACAACAGAAAAACCCAAAAUGACAGGAGUUUAAAGAGGAGAGAAGUUCAUUUCUCACCCACAUAAAGAUGUCUGCAGCAGGCAGCCCAGGGCUGAAAGGAGAACUUCACACUUUGCUUGGGGAUCCACCUGCCUGUCUAUCUGAUCUGCUUUCUUCAAUGAAUGGCUUCCAUCCACAAGAUGCGUCACAAUCCAAGAAAUCGGUGGAAAUCCAUCCUCAAGUGCCCAUUCCAGGCAGGCGGCAGGACAGCAUGUGGAAGACAAAAACGAUGCUCCUCCCAACUGGGUCAGAAGCUUGAAACUCCUUUCCAAGAAGUUCCCUGUGCCACUUCUACUUAAAUCUCCGGCCGGAAGUUCAUCUUACGGCCUCAGCAGCUGCACAGGUUGCUGGAAAAUUGUUGCCUUUUGGGUGCAUUGCCACGUUGAAUAAAACCGAGGUUCAAUUUUAUUGAGAAAGUGGGGGAGGCUGGAUGUUGAGUGGCAACAAGCAACCUCUGCCACAAAUAGACAACCUUUCCUCACUCAACAGAUGCCGCACACUCUGCAGAGGAUGGGGUGAAAAGAGAAAGAAACGAAGAAAAACACAACACAGAGCCUGAUAUUCAGGGACUCAUGGUCUGACAGGGGAGACAGAUAUGUAAUAAAUGAGUUUAUUAGAGUGAUCACUGCACUCAUAAAAGUGUGUACUGCGAAGAUGGAUGGUACAAAGGGGGCUGUUGCCCAUUGAUCCUGAAGUUUGAUGAAGACAUAUCUCUUUAAGGUAAUGGCCUUUGCAACCAUGGAGACUUUCUCCAGGAAAACUGGAAGAGUGCAGACAAAGACAGAAGGUGGUCAAGAGAUCAAGGCCUGUUCAACCGAUAGAGUCCUUUCCCCUGGUCACAGGAAUGUGACCUUGGUCAGUCUGGUGGGAUUAAUUCUUCCAGUUUUAUCGAAGCUCUGUGUGUUGGGACGUGGGCUCACCAGGCUGGGAGAAUAAAAGCCUGGACAUAGCUCAACUGACAGUAGAAGUAAUACAGAAGAAAGCCGAGCCGGGAAGGAAAGAGGGCCGGGCUUCUUGACGUUAUUUGAGGUCCUGGGGCCUGCUGUCCCUGGGACUCCUGAACUUUGCAGUUUCAUGAACCCCUAAGUCUCCUUAUUGCUUAAGCCAGUUGGGGUGCAGUUUCUGCAUCUGCAACAAGGGUUUUGAUUGAUACUGUGUAGAACAAGCCAGUAAAGAAAAAAAAAAAUCAGUCUAUGCGUCAGACAGCACCAUUAGCAGGCACUGAAGAAUAUGACUGAGGGGUGAUCACUCCCCUGGUUUGCUGGGACUGUCCCGGUUUUAGCCCUGAAAGUCCCACACCCUGGGAAUCCCUCAGUCCCUGGCCAAUCUGGGUGGUUGGUUUCCAUCAGGUGGAAAGCCAUCCAUGUUUACUGUGGGAAAGAGGAGACUAAGGGGAAAAUGGCGGCUAUUGUCAAAUGUCUGAAGAGUUCUCACGUGGAAGAGAAAAGUAGAUGGUUCUGUGUGGCUCCAAGCAGUAGAGGCAGAAUAAUUCGGCAGAGGCUGUGGAGGUGAGAAUGUUAAAAGGCAGAUGGUCUUCAUUAUAAGGACAAUUUUUCUAAACAUCAGGACAGUCAAGACUGGGAUUGGCUUGCCUUGAAGGGGAAGCCAGCGGAGGGGUCAUGUGGUC
This is a long non-coding RNA of Equus caballus (horse), 2127 nucleotides long. The record is from Ensembl. NCBI's taxonomy places the organism in Eukaryota, Metazoa, Chordata, Mammalia, Perissodactyla, Equidae.